Molecule: long non-coding RNA, 5040 nt
Filed under: Triticum aestivum (bread wheat)
Lineage: Eukaryota; Viridiplantae; Streptophyta; Magnoliopsida; Poales; Poaceae
Description: long non-coding RNA (TAES_LNC025015)
Source: RNAcentral
UGUUGAUGAUAAUAUUCUCGACUAUAUCUCUAGCGCAUUGUAUCUCUCUCUAUUCUGUUUCUAUCUUCUGUAGGUAGUUGAAUAGAUAGAUUCUAUCUUUACUUCUCUUGUACUCCAAGAAUGUAAUUCAAACAAUGUAUGCGUCUAUGGGAUAAGCCCCAUCAAUCUAUAAAUACACGCGGCCCUCCAACGAGGGUUAUAUGCUUCCUCCUAUCGAUUUCUACAUGGUAAUCAGAGCAUCCUCUUCCUUCUCGUCCUAAAACCACAGAAGCCUAGAUCGAUCUCUCCACAGAAAAACCAUGUCGUCCUCCUCCUCCACCCCAACUCUCUCUGGCCUCGGAUCCCAGGUCACAGAGAAGCUCACCCGCGAGAACUAUCUCCUGUGGAAGGCGCAGAUCCUGCCGCACUUCCUCGGGGCGGGCCUUUACGGCUAUCUGGACGGCACCAUUGCCGAACCAGAGAAGAUGCUCACCGUGAAGGACAAGGAGGGCAAGGACCAAGUCAUCAUCAACCCGGCGUAUGAAGCCUGGAUGCGUCAGGACCAGCAGGUCCUCGGGCACCUCAUGAACAACAUGUCAAAGGAGGUGCUAGUCUCGAUCGUCUCCAUCAGGACGGCACGAGCACUCUGGACAUCAUUGGGUAAUAUGUUUGCUUCUCAAUCACGCUCACGUAUUAAUAAUCUUCGGAUCUCCCUGUCCAAUGCCAAAAAGGGCAACCAAUCUGCACCGGUGUACUUCUCCCGGAUGCGUGGAUAUGCUGAUGAGCUCGCUGCCGCGGGGAAGCCACUGGAUGAGGACGAACUCGUUUCUUUCCUGCUGGCAGGGCUGGACCUCGACUACAACCCUCUGGUCUCGGCCCUAGAUGCGCGCACGGAGCCGGUCACUGUCGAUGCACUCUAUUCCCAGGUGUGCAACUUCGAUCAGCGAGUCGAGCUGCUCACAGGAGGCCAUGAUGCGGGCUUCAAAUCUUCUGCAAACUCUGCCCGUCGUGGCGGAGCUCCCCCUCGUGGCUAUGGCAGGGGGAGAGAACAGAAGCAAGGUGGUGGCGGCGGUGGCUACAAGAAGAAGCAGACCACCGGAGGGCGCCCCUUCUACAACAACAACAAGGGUGCUCGUCCUGGUGGUGGCUCGUCCAGCGGCAACAAGGCCAACAAUGAGCCGAUCCAGUGCCAGAUCUGUGGCAAGAUCGGUCACAGCGCAAGGGACUGCUGGUACCGCUUCGACGAUGACGCUCAAGAAGAAAAAGUUGCUGCUGCGGCCCAGUAUGGCGUUGACACAAACUGGUACGUCGACAGCGGCGCAACUAACCACCUCACAGGAGAGUUGGAGAAGUUGACAACUCGUGAGAAGUAUCGCGGCCAUGACCAAAUCCAUGGUCCAGAUGGAUCAGGUAUGAGAAUAAAUCAUGUUGGUCAAUCAAUUAUCAAAACCCCUAGCCGUCCUAUUCAUCUUAAAAAUAUCCUUCAUGCUCCCAGUGCUAAAAAAACCUUCUUUCUGUACAUCGCAUUGCUCUAGACAAUCAUGUAUUACUUGAGUUUUACCCCUUCUUCUUUUUGAUUAAGGAUCUGGCAACGAGGAAGGUGCUCUACAGAGGUAGAUGCGUUGGAGGGCUCUAUCCAUUGAUCCAUCGCCUUAGGAGCUCAAAUAAACAAGUUUUUGGUGUCACCCAAUUAUCUUCGGCAAGGUGGCACGAUCGAUUAGGACAUCCUUCUUUUGCUAUUGUUCAACGAGUGCUUAGAAAAAAUAAACUCCCUUUUGUUGGUGAGCUUAGUAGUGAAACAGUGUGUGAUUCAUGUCAGAAAGCAAAAAGUCAUCAACUCCCAUAUCCAGUAUCGACUAGUGUUUCUUCCAAACCAUUAGAGCUCAUUUUUUCUGAUGUAUGGGGGCAAGCACCCACUUCUGUUGGUCGACACAAAUACUAUGUAAGCUUCAUUGAUGAUUAUAGCAAGUAUACAUGGAUUUAUCUUAUUAAACAUAAGUCCGAUGUGUUUCAAGUUUUCCAAAAUUUUCAAGCACUUGUUGAACGAAAGUUUGAUAGCAAAAUCAUUACAGUCCAAUCGGACUGGGGUGGCGAGUACGAGAAACUCAACUCCUUCUUCCAAAAACUGGGAAUCUCCCAUCAUGUUUCUUGUCCCCACGCACACCAACAGAAUGGCUCUGCUGAACGCAAGCAUCGCCAUAUUGUUGAAGUUGGUCUUUCUCUACUUGCAAAUGCUUCCAUGCCAUUAAAAUUCUGGGACGAAGCUUUCCUCACUGCCACACAUCUCAUUAAUAUCCUUCCAAGCCGUGUCAUCAAUUACCAAACACCUACAGAACGGCUUUUUCAAACCAAACCAAACUAUGCAUCUCUCCGAGUUUUUGGGUGUGCAUGUUGGCCCAAUCUUCGACCCUACAACACCAGAAAACUUUCUUUUCGCUCCAAACAAUGUGUGUUCAUUGGUUAUAGUCCACAACAUAAAGGAGUCAAGUGCUUAGAUGUGCAAACUGGAAGGGUUUACAUAUCCAGGGAUGUGGUGUUCGAUGAGUCCGUUUUUCCGUUCCAAGAUCACCAUCCCAAUGCCGGAGCCCUCCUACAAAAAGAAAUCCUUCUCCUUCCUAGUUCUCUUUCCGGCUUAGAUCAAGGGGGUAAUGAUAUUUUUGAUGAUCGCAUGACUAAUCCUCAUAACCAUACAACACAGUCUCCUGGUGAUGCAGAUGAUACAGGUUUUUGUGGUACAGAAAACGGUGCACAAACUGCUGAAAACGCAGCUGUACAAUAGCCAAUAUUUCAUGCAGCAGAACCGGACACGGGCGCUGGACACGAGGAGGAUUCACCUGCGUCGGGAUCAGCGGGCUCCAGAUCCCAGGAGGAUCGCCUGCAGCGGCAGGCUACCUCGGAAUCACGCGCGCACCGCAGCGACAGCGCCUCUCCCACGAGGCGGGCCACGGACGCGCCGUCCAGUGCGCGUGGACCACGCACAGACCCACCUUCGGGCCAAUCAUCACCCGCCACACGCGGCGUGAUCCAACGGGCCGCUGACAGCGACCGGGCCCCCAACCGCGGUCGGGCCCAUGACAACGACCGGGCCAGCGCUGAUUCGCCCGGCGCGCCUGGUGUACCUGACGGCGGAUCGCCCUCGGGGUCUGCCCCUACCAGUCCUGCACGCUCAGGCGGAUCGGGCGGAUCUUCUGCAGCACAAACUCCUGUAGCGCGUUCUACACGCGUUGGUACACGUCUACAAACAGGGAAAAUUAACCCUGUUAAUUACAAAAAUAUUCUUAAAUUUGGGCUAACUUGUUCUACAGAUGUACCACAUUCUGUUGAAGAGGCACUGGAUGAUGCUAAGUGGAGAAAAGCCAUGGAAGAAGAAUACAAGGCUUUGAGAAAGAAUGAGACUUGGCACUUGGUUCCACCGGGUCAAGGUAAAAAUUUGAUAGAUUGCAAAUGGGUAUACAAAGUUAAAAGAAAGGCUGAUGGCACUAUUGAUCGGUAUAAGGCUAGGCUAGUAGCUAAAGGCUUCAAACAAAGAUAUGGGAUAGAUUAUGAGGACACGUUUAGUCCUGUUGUUAAGGCUGCUACUAUCAGGCUUGUGUUGUCUAUUGCUGUUUCCAGAAAUUGGUGCUUGAGGCAGUUGGACGUACAGAAUGCGUUUUUACAUGGUAUUCUGGAAGAGGAGGUUUACAUGAAACAACCACCUGGGUUUGAAAACAAGCAUGUACCUUUCCAUGUGUGCAAGCUUGAUAAAGCUCUGUAUGGUCUGAAGCAGGCCCCAAGGGCGUGGUACUCACGGUUGAGUGCAAAAUUGCAAAAUAUUGGUUUUGUUCCAUCCAAGUCGGAUACCUCAUUGUUUAUUUACAAUAGGUCUAAUAUCACAAUGUUCAUGCUUAUAUACGUUGAUGAUAUUAUUGUCACCAGCUCGUCUAGUGAAGCAGUGACAGCACUUCUGAAGGACUUGGGCUCGGAGUUUGCUCUCAGGGACUUGGGAGAUCUGAGCUUCUUCUUGGGAAUUGAAGUCAAGCAAACUGAUAAUGGUAUAGUCCUCUCGCAAGAAAAAUAUGCAACUGAUCUUUUGAAAAGAGUUGGCAUGCAGAAUUGCAAACCCUCUCCAACUCCGUUAUCUAGUUCAGAAAAACUAUCCUUGCAUGAAGGAGAACUCCUAAGUCUGGAAGAUGGCACUCAGUACAGGAGUAUGAUUGGUGCACUUCAGUAUUUAACUCUUACUAGACCUGAUAUUUCUUUUGCUGUGAACAAAGUUUGUCAGUUUCUACAUGCACCUACCACCUUACACUGGUCUGCUGCAAAACGUAUUCUGAGGUAUGUGAAGAACACAGUAAAUGUUGGUUUAACAUUCAGCAGAUCUCAGUCUACCCUUAUUAGUGCUUUCACUGAUGCUGAUUGGGCUGGAGACCCAGAUGAUAGAAGGUCAACAGGUGGCUUUGCCAUAUUUUUUGGUCCAAAUCUAAUAUCAUGGUGUGCUAAGAAACAAGUCACAGUUUCUCGGUUUAGUACAGAGGCUGAGUAUAAAGCUCUAGCUAAUGCUACGGCAGAAAUCAUUUGGGUACAGUCCAUGUUAAAGGAACUUGGAGUGUCACAGGCGCAAGUUCCCUGUCUUUGGUGUGAUAAUUUGGGAGCCACAUACCUUUCUGCAAAUCCUGUCUUUCAUGCCAGAACCAAAUACAUUGAGAUAGAUUUUCAUUUUGUUAGAGAACGGGUUGCUAACAAGAAGUUGGACAUUCGGUUUAUUCAUUCAAAGGAUCAAGUUGCAGAUGGCUUCACAAAAGCUUUACCUACACGGAGUUUUGAAGAAUUCAAGCGUAAUCUCAACUUGGCCAAGUUGUGAUUAUGGGGGCGUGUUGAAGAUAAUAUUCUCGACUAUAUCUCUAGCGCAUUGUAUCUCUCUCUAUUCUGUUUCUAUCUUCUGUAGGUAGUUGAAUAGAUAGAUUCUAUCUUUACUUCUCUUGUACUCCAAGAAUGUAAUUCAAACAAUGUAUGCGUCUAUGGGAUAAGCCCCAUCAAUCUAUAAAUACACGCGGCCCUCCAACGAGGGUUAUACGCUUCCUC